RNAcentral lists this ribosomal RNA (583 nucleotides) under Latilactobacillus sakei. RNAcentral describes it as "bacterial SSU rRNA". It matches the Rfam family "Bacterial small subunit ribosomal RNA", at positions 778 to 1361 of the family's 1533-position model. Lineage: Bacteria; Bacillati; Bacillota; Bacilli; Lactobacillales; Lactobacillaceae. The record is from RNAcentral.
UUAGAUACCCUGGUAGUCCAUGCCGUAAACGAUGAGUGCUAGGUGUUGGAGGGUUUCCGCCACUUCAGUGCCGCAGCUAACGCAUUAAGCACUCCGCCUGGGGAGUACGACCGCAAGGUUGAAACUCAAAGGAAUUGACGGGGGCCCGCACAAGCGGUGGAGCAUGUGGUUUAAUUCGAAGCAACGCGAAGAACCUUACCAGGUCUUGACAUCCUUUGACCACUCUAGAGAUAGAGCUUUCCCUUCGGGGACAAAGUGACAGGUGGUGCAUGGUUGUCGUCAGCUCGUGUCGUGAGAUGUUGGGUUAAGUCCCGCAACGAGCGCAACCCUUAUUACUAGUUGCCAGCAUUUAGUUGGGCACUCUAGUGAGACUGCCGGUGACAAACCGGAGGAAGGUGGGGACGACGUCAAAUCAUCAUGCCCCUUAUGACCUGGGCUACACACGUGCUACAAUGGAUGGUACAACGAGUUGCGAGACCGCGAGGUUUAGCUAAUCUCUUAAAACCAUUCUCAGUUCGGAUUGUAGGCUGCAACUCGCCUACAUGAAGCCGAAUCGCUAGUAAUCGCGGAUCAGCAUGCCGCG